CAACGCCGGGAAACUCACCAGAUAAGACAGCUGAAUGAUAGUCGGGCUGAAGACUCUACUUGACUAGCUGAGAGGAGGUGCAUGGCCGUCGUCAGUUCGUACUGUGAAGCAUCCUGUUAAGUCAGGCAACGAGCGAGACCCACGCCAACAGUUGCCAGCUCGUCCUCCGGGAUGGUGGGGACACUGUUGGGACCGCCUCUGCUAAAGAGGAGGAAGGAAUGGGCAACGGUAGGUCAGCAUGCCCCGAAUUAUCUGGGCUACACGCGGGCUACAAUGGUUGGUACAAUGGGUAUCUACCCCGAAAGGGGACGGGAAUCUCCUAAAACCAAUCUUAGUUCGGAUUGAGGGCUGCAACUCGCCCUCAUGAAGCUGGAAUCCGUAGUAAUCGCGUUUCAACAGAACGCGGUGAAUACGUCCCUGCUCCUU
Molecule: ribosomal RNA, 426 nt
Filed under: uncultured Methanomicrobiales archaeon
Lineage: Archaea; Methanobacteriati; Methanobacteriota; Methanomicrobia; Methanomicrobiales
Description: bacterial SSU rRNA
Rfam family: Archaeal small subunit ribosomal RNA
Source: RNAcentral